Gambusia affinis (western mosquitofish) is the source of this 1792-nucleotide long non-coding RNA. RefSeq lists it as uncharacterized. The record is from RefSeq and is a predicted model, not a curated record. Lineage: Eukaryota; Metazoa; Chordata; Actinopteri; Cyprinodontiformes; Poeciliidae. The transcript is spliced from 4 exons.
UUAAAGUUACUUUUUCAAAGUAACUAUGCCAUCACAGGUUUUGGCCAGAGCGGGGCUGAAGGUGGAGUUCAUUUAACAGUUCACGAGGGUGGGGGGGCGCAGCAGGCAUUGUGCUAUUUGGAGGGGGGCUCACCCUUACAUACUUUGAAAACCCUUGCUGUAAGCUAUCCAUCGAAGUAAUAUAUUUAAGAUGUAUUCAUGCAACCUGUGUGCUGAAACAGUUAAAUCUGUUAUAGCCUUUGUUCUCCAUUGCAGACUGCAUCGCAACGAACCGAGGCCUGUGUUCAAGUGUGUUGCAGCCGGUUGCAAGCAGAGUGAAAAUCCAGCUAUCAUUGGACCAGAGCGGACUCCAGAAACGUAUCAAUCUGCCACUGAACAGCUGGAAAGAGAGGAUGUGACAGAAGUACAGGGGAUUAAGUUCAGGGUCCUCUUGCUUCACUGCGGACUGCUUCAUGUUGAGUAUUGAUCAGAAGAUUAUCAAUGACCACAUCACUGCCUUCUCCUGUGCCAUCUGCCUGAUGUUUGGCAGUUACUACUGUUUUAAUAUACACGACCCAGUGGAACUGCGGUCAACACUGGAGUUCCUCCAAAGGUGUUUCUUUUCAAUUAAUCCGGAGAGAGGAACAAAAGUUGAGCAUAGCAAGAGGAUGAAGAUCUUGGCGGUCAACCCAAGAGUCCUCACACUCAUCGCUGACCUCGCAGACCAUGAGUGGACUUAGACCAUACUUUGUGAGUUAUGUGAUAUGAUGUGUAAUGUUGUUAUGUUGCGGUAUGUAAAACUACAUUUACACUGUAAGAUUUCACAUUUUUCAUCUUCAUGUUAAAUCUUGCAAAUUUAUGUUAGACAUUUUUUUCUAUAUAUGUAUGUAGCAGAUGACAAUAAAACAGAUUUUAUGCUGCACCACUGUCAUGGCUUAAUGAAUAUGUGGUGAUUUACAAGUUACAAGUCAAAAAACGUGAACAGUUUUAGCUAUCUAUUUCAGAAAGGUUACAGUGGUGCCCAGCACAUUUGUUAGAAAGUUCUUAUUUCUGUGUAUGUGCCAAUUCCAUAUGAUAUGGAUUAUUCAUUUUAAACACACUGCACCAGGGUUGAAGUGAUAAUGUUGUGUCAUAUCUGUUCAAACUUUUGCACCAAUAUAAGUGCUUGCUGCUUUUUUGAAGAUGUGUUACAAGUUCUUUGUAAUCAGUGUUCACAGGGUUGUGAGAAGUUUGUACAGCCCAAAAAGUUUUCAUUAAAUGGAAAAAAUACAAUGAAGUUUGGUUUUUGGAUAUUUUAUGUAAAAUUUACUUAUACUUUUCCAUGUUUUUACCAUUAGACAAAACUGGUAACACAUUAUUUAGCUGCUCUAAUCGAUUUGAUGAUUUUACCAAGUAAAUUAGCACUUUUUAAUUUCAUAAUUUGCACUAACUAAACAUUUCUUUAAUGUUUCAAUGUUAAUUUUUAGCCAAAAAGUGAGAUCUUUGUAGUUUUUUUUUCUUAGUUUUAUAUAACAUUAUGGUUUCAAAGUCAGUAAUUAACCAUAAAAUCAGCAAUACUAUUGCUCUUUUACCAUUGAAGAAAAGGAUAAAUAUCCUACAUUUGUACAGUUUUUUUCCCUUUGAAAAAUAAAGACAAAACAUGUAUUAAUACAGUAAUUUAGGGAAAUGUUAGCAUGGUAAAACUGUUAAUUUACAGUAAAAUUAUUUCAAAUUUCAUGGCAUGAACUGCAUCUUAUAUAUCAAUUUUAGGACAAAAUAUCAUUUUUUAUAAUGGUAAUAAUAGUAAUUUUUACAGUAAAAGGUUAAAAAAAUA